AGCAGCCGCUGUAAUUCCAGCUCCAAUAGCGUAUAUUAAAGUUGCUGCAGUUAAAAAGCUCGUAGUUGAAUUUCGGGACCAAUUUGUUGGUCGUGCCUCGGUACGUACUGAUAUUAUUGGUUUCUCCCUUCUGAAGAACCUUGAUGCCAUUAAUUUGGUGUCUUGGGGAAUCAGGACUGUUACUUUGAAAAAUUAGAGUGUUUAAAGCAGGCAUACGCCUGAAUACAUUAGCAUGGAAUAAUGAAAUAGGACGUUUGAUUCUAUUUUGUUGGUUUCUAGGAUCGACGUAAUGAUUAAUAGGGAUAGUUGGGGGCAUUAGUAUUCAAUUGUCAGAGGUGAAAUUCUUGGAUUUUAUUGAAGAC
This 362-nucleotide ribosomal RNA is filed under the name uncultured Glomeromycotina. Its description in RNAcentral is "SSU rRNA". It matches the Rfam family "Eukaryotic small subunit ribosomal RNA", at positions 569 to 936 of the family's 1831-position model. Lineage: Eukaryota; Fungi; Glomeromycota. The record is from RNAcentral.